AUGCUCCUACACCGCCCCGCAAGGCCGCUCCUUGCGCGUUGCAGCAAGACUCACGGCCACCGGCGCUACUUUUCUCAUCCCAAUCACCGGCGCUGCAAAGCCGGGACCACCGUUGCUUCUCAUCCCGGCGGCACCGGCGCUGCUUCUCACCCCGUCCACUGGCGCUGCAAAACCAGGGGUUGCGUCCCCGUGGAUGUCGCCACGGCGGCCGAGCUGCAGUGCAGCAUAAGCGACACCUGCAUAUCUCACCGGCGGCAAAUGCUCCAAUGCAGUGUCGUCAUGGUGGUGACCACGGUGCUAGACUCGCCGACGACGGCAGAUGCUGCAUCGCAGCGUCGCUCGUGGUGGACACCACGGCGCUAUCCUCACGCGACGACGGAAGAUACUGCAACCUGCAACGCAAUGUCGCUCCCCGUGGUGACCAUAGCGCUGCAACUCGUACCGAAGGAUCCCACCCUCGGCGGCAAUGGAGCACCGCCGGAGGCGUUGAAGCUUCAAUGGAGCGCCGUGGGGGCUGCAUUGGAGCGCCGCCGGAGUUGCAAUGGAGCACCGCCGGAGGCGUUUGAAGCAUGCAAUGGAGCGCCGUGGGGGCUGCAGUGGAGCGUCGCCGGAGUUGCAAUGGAGCACCGUCGGAGUCGUUUGAAGCUUGCAAUGGAGCGCCGCCGGAGUUGCAAUGGAGCACCGUCGGAGGCGUUUGAAGCAUGUAAUGGAGCGCCGUGGGGGCUGCAGUGGAGCGUUACCGGAGUUGCAAUGGAGCACCGUCGGAGUCGUUUGAAGCUUGCAAUGGAGCGCCGUGGGGGCUGCAGUGGAGCGCCGCCGGAGUUGCAAUGGAGCACCGGAGCUGCAAUGGAGCUUCGUCGGGUCAUCGUCGGUGCUGCGAUGCAGCUGUCGCUGGCGCUAAAGUGA
RNAcentral lists this ribosomal RNA (906 nucleotides) under Triticum aestivum (bread wheat). Its description in RNAcentral is "partial small subunit ribosomal RNA". The record is from RNAcentral. Lineage: Eukaryota; Viridiplantae; Streptophyta; Magnoliopsida; Poales; Poaceae.